CUACGGGGUGCAGCAGUGAGGAAUAUUGCACAAUGGGGGGAACCCUGAUGCAGCAACGCCGCGUGGAGGAUGACGCAUUUCGGUGUGUAAACUCCUUUUAUAUGUCAAGAAAAUGACGGUAGCAUAUGAAUAAGCACCGGCUAACUCCGUGCCAGCAGCCGCGGUAAUACGGAGGGUGCAAGCGUUACUCGGAAUCACUGGGCGUAAAGGACGCGUAGGCGGGUUGGAAAGUCAGGUGUGAAAUCCUACAGCUUAACUGUAGAACUGCACUUGAAACUUCUAAUCUAGAGUAUGGGAGGGGGAGAUGGGAUUAGUGGUGUAGGGGUAAAAUCCGUAGAUAUCACUAGGAAUACCUAAAGCGAAGGCGACCUCCUGGAACAUUACUGACGCUAAGGCGUGAAAGCGUGGGGAGCAAACAGGAUUAGAUACCCCCGUAGUC
RNAcentral lists this ribosomal RNA (439 nucleotides) under uncultured bacterium. Its description in RNAcentral is "partial 16S ribosomal RNA". It matches the Rfam family "Bacterial small subunit ribosomal RNA", at positions 339 to 795 of the family's 1533-position model. The record is from RNAcentral.